AAUACUUAGGAAUCUGCCCAUUAAUGGGGGACAACAGUUGGAAACGACUGCUAAUACCGCAUACGCCCUACGGGGGAAAGCAGGGGAUCUUCGGACCUUGCGUUAAUGGAUGAGCCUAAGUCGGAUUAGCUAGUUGGUGGGGUAAAGGCCUACCAAGGCGACGAUCUGUAGCGGGUCUGAGAGGAUGAUCCGCCACACCGGGACUGAGACACGGCCCAGACUCCUACGGGAGGCAGCAGUGGGGAAUAUUGGACAAUGGGGGGAACCCUGAUCCAGCCAUGCCGCGUGUGUGAAGAAGGCCUUUUGGUUGUAAAGCACUUUAAGCGAGGAGGAGGCUACUAGUAUUAAUACUACUGGAUAGUGGACGUUACUCGCAGAAUAAGCACCGGCUAACUCUGUGCCAGCAGCCGCGGUAAUACAGAGGGUGCGAGCGUUAAUCGGAUUUACUGGGCGUAAAGCGUGCGUAGGUGGCCAAUUAAGUCAAAUGUGAAAUCCCCGAGCUUAACUUGGGAAUUGCAUUCGAUACUGGUUGGCUAGAGUAUGGGAGAGGAUGGUAGAAUUCCAGGUGUAGCGGUGAAAUGCGUAGAGAUCUGGAGG
This 597-nucleotide ribosomal RNA is filed under the name uncultured bacterium. Its description in RNAcentral is "bacterial SSU rRNA". It matches the Rfam family "Bacterial small subunit ribosomal RNA", at positions 112 to 704 of the family's 1533-position model. The record is from RNAcentral.